AUGUCCUCUGAAGACACAACUCGUUGCAGUUCGUUCAUCCAUCUUCAACCAGAUUUGUCCUCCUCUUGCCAUUCGCUCCACAUCCAUUUUAGCCUCAGCGAUCUUCCAGUUAAAAACGUACACGCCUCAGCCACCGCUCAAGCCCCUAUAAAAGGACGCGCCUUUCUCUUUCCGUCGCACGUCUCCCUAAUCUCGUCGAAGCCUGUCCUCUCCUUCCUACCUCCCUCCUGGUCCGUGCCUCGACGGCCUCGGUCGCCGGGCCCAAAUAUGGAGGUGGACAUGCAUCCGGAGGCCGAGCGACAGCUCCGCGACAAGUUGAAUUGUUGCUUCUGCGACCUCCGCAUCGCCAUGCCCAUCACGUCCAACGAGCAUAAGGCCUCCCUCCUCGCGGAUGGUGCGGCCUACGUCAUCGAGCUCCACGCGGGCAUGGAGCCGCUCAAGGAGGAUAGCAAACUGCCCGCCGCCGUGAGAUAG
Molecule: ribosomal RNA, 474 nt
Filed under: Triticum aestivum (bread wheat)
Lineage: Eukaryota; Viridiplantae; Streptophyta; Magnoliopsida; Poales; Poaceae
Description: partial small subunit ribosomal RNA
Source: RNAcentral